Molecule: long non-coding RNA, 1060 nt
Filed under: Struthio camelus australis
Lineage: Eukaryota; Metazoa; Chordata; Aves; Struthioniformes; Struthionidae
Description: lncRNA (ENSSCUG00000018562.1)
Source: RNAcentral
ACAGUCCUCUCUAGGACUGUUUUGAGGUCUAGGGCAGAACGAAGGGGUGCUGUUUUCUUUGUGUUUCUUGAACCUGAGGUGACUUUUCAUGGUUUCACACAUGGCAAGCUGACAAUUAGCUUUUGCAUCGUCACUCCUUCCUUCCUUCACAGCUGGUGGAAUCGAGGGAAAAUCUUUAAAACAGAUUGGCUGAUUAUCGUAGCCAUAAAUUCAAGCUGGAGAACGGGUGAAGAGAGAGAGAGAGGCAAGGAACAUUAUGGAAAAACAUCUAUUUGGUGUCGACGCAAGAACUGCCAGCUACUUCAUGUAAGAUCUGCUGCUGUUCUCCUGGCAGAACCACAGAAGCAAAAAAGUGGGAGAGCAACAAGCUGGAUUUUAGUCGGUACAUGCUCGAGCGACUCCUGAACUCGAGAAACACACAAAACCACCGCUAACCUUGUGGCACUGCAGGAGUGAGGCUUUGAAGAUUCUUUUCCAGAAACAACAAGUCUUAAGGCAAAAAUAAGACAGCUAGAAAUUGCCUGCUGCCAGCAGAGCUGAAGACGCCAUAACAUUUUCUAGUACAGGAAGUGUUCAAUAUUUUAAGAGCAGUGACCAUGUAUUAAUGUAUUUAUGCCCUUAGGGUUAUAGAAGUCCUCCACUCAGAAUAUUCUCCACCCCAGAUCACAGGACUGCUAAUAUUUCCACUGCAGUGUCAUGCUUUUCAACAGUGUAUGUUACUGUAUGCACAUACUCAAGGAUAAAUUGGUACCUGUCUUUAAGAUAAAAUCAGGUCCAAAGACACUCACUGAGAAUGUAACACUUGCGGGAGAGGGAAUGUCUCUUCCUAAGUUUUCAUGCAGGGACUUGUACAAUUGAACUAGUAGUCCUCACCGGAGCUCAAGGUCUGACUGAGAAAUAAUUAAUGGUUCUUACGGUAACAGUGAAACAGUGAAACCUCCUCAUCUGGGGAAUACAAUCUUUGGAAAUCAUAACGCCAAAAGAAUAACAAUGUCACAACACCCAUUUGGACGGAUGCAUGGAACGGCAGAGAAUAUAAGAAAUAUACAUUUACUUUCCA